This 337-nucleotide ribosomal RNA is filed under the name uncultured bacterium. Its description in RNAcentral is "bacterial SSU rRNA". It matches the Rfam family "Bacterial small subunit ribosomal RNA", at positions 1 to 334 of the family's 1533-position model. The record is from RNAcentral.
ACACGUGAUUCAGAGUUUGAUCCUGGCUCAGAUUGAACGCUGGCGGCGUGCUUAACACAUGCAAGUCGAUCGGUAACAGGUGUAGCAAUACAUGCUGACGAGAGGCGGACGGGUGAGGAAUGUUUGGGAAUCUGCCCAUCAGCGGGGGACAACCCGGGGAAACCCGGGCUAAUACCGCAUACGCUCUACGGAGGAAAGCCGGGGACCGCAAGGCCUGGCACUGAUGGAUGAGCCCAAAUCGGAUUAGCUAGUUGGCGGGGUAACGGCCCACCAAGGCUACGAUCCGUAGCUGGUCUGAGAGGACGAUCAGCCACACCGGAACUGAGACACGGUCCGG